UGGGGAAUAUUGCACAAUGGGCGCAAGCCUGAUGCAGCCAUGCCGCGUGUAUGAAGAAGGCCUUCGGGUUGUAAAGUACUUUCAGCGGGGAGGAAGGGAGUAAAGUUAAUACCUUUGCUCAUUGACGUUACCCGCAGAAGAAGCACCGGCUAACUCCGUGCCAGCAGCCGCGGUAAUACGGAGGGUGCAAGCGUUAAUCGGAAUUACUGGGCGUAAAGCGCACGCAGGCGGUUUGUUAAGUCAGGUGUGAAAUCCCCGGGCUCAACCUGGGAACGGCAUCUGAUACUGGCAAGCUUGAGUCUCGUAGAGGGGGGUAGAAUUCCAGGUGUAGCGGUGAAAUGCGUAGAGAUCUGGAGGAAUACCGGUGGCGAAGGCGGCCACCUGGACGAAGACUGACGCUCAGGUGCGAAGGCGUGGGGAGCAAACAGG
This 429-nucleotide ribosomal RNA is filed under the name Chloroflexota bacterium. RNAcentral describes it as "Chloroflexi bacterium partial 16S ribosomal RNA". It matches the Rfam family "Bacterial small subunit ribosomal RNA", at positions 355 to 776 of the family's 1533-position model. The record is from RNAcentral. Lineage: Bacteria; Bacillati; Chloroflexota.